UACGAAGGGGGCUAGCGUUGCCCGGAAUGACUGGGCGUAAAGGGCGCGUAGGCGGCUUGUCCCGUCAGAUGUGAAAUUCCUGGGCUUAACCUGGGGGCUGCAUUUGAUACGUGUGGGCUUGAGUGCGGAAGAGGGCCGUGGAAUUCCCAGUGUAGAGGUGAAAUUCGUAGAUAUUGGGAAGAACACCGGUGGCGAAGGCGGCGACCUGGUCCGUGACUGACGCUGAGGCGCGAAAGCGUGGGGAGCAAACAGG
Molecule: ribosomal RNA, 253 nt
Filed under: uncultured bacterium
Lineage: Bacteria
Description: partial 16S ribosomal RNA
Rfam family: Bacterial small subunit ribosomal RNA
Source: RNAcentral